AACUAGAAGUAGUCUUCAUCUCUGUUAGUCGAUGAUUUGAUUCCUUCACCUCCACUCACUCACAGGGAACCUUUUUAUUAUCUUUGCCUUUUUUUUUACCAUCUAAGUACCCUUUUAUUAUAAAUAUUACUACUAAUUUUAUUCUGUAAUCGUAAUCAUUACUAUUAUUAUUAAAGAAAUUGAAUUGAAUCAACAAGUAAUAUAUAUAGUUUUAAUUUGGCUUGUAUUGUUAUUUCAAUGUUUUUAAUUUUAU
Molecule: unclassified non-coding RNA, 253 nt
Filed under: Hevea brasiliensis (rubber tree)
Lineage: Eukaryota; Viridiplantae; Streptophyta; Magnoliopsida; Malpighiales; Euphorbiaceae
Source: RNAcentral